RNAcentral lists this ribosomal RNA (408 nucleotides) under Triticum aestivum (bread wheat). RNAcentral describes it as "partial small subunit ribosomal RNA". The record is from RNAcentral. Lineage: Eukaryota; Viridiplantae; Streptophyta; Magnoliopsida; Poales; Poaceae.
AUGGGGAGUAACUCACAUCAGAUACAAGCAGAUAUGAAAGCUGAAGUGGGGAAUAGAUCGUCUAAUGGCGCCGGCUUGCACUUGCAGGGACCAGCCACCGCGGCACUGCUGCCGGACCUAGGCAGGGUAGGGUGCGGCGCAGUCGCACGCACAGGGUGGUGGGAGCCACCGACGAGCGAGAUGGAGAUGGAGGCACCGGGCGCGGAGGUUGCGAUGCACGAUUGCCACUGCCCCCAAUCUGAUGGAGACGAGUCCCGCGCCCAGCGACCAUGCCGAGCUCGAGCGGAUCCUUGGGCACUUCAGCGACAGACUCGACGAGGAGGGGCCGAGAAGAUUGGGGGGAGUGCGAGCCUGCGAGACCUCGCUCCGGUGAUGGGGACGAAGAGGAUGGGCGGCCUGAGGAGGUAG